This is a long non-coding RNA of Strigops habroptila (Kakapo), 4529 nucleotides long. The record is from Ensembl. NCBI's taxonomy places the organism in Eukaryota, Metazoa, Chordata, Aves, Psittaciformes, Psittacidae.
CUGGAGAUCAUCUUUAAUAUCAUUGACAAAGAUCACUCAGGUAGGUCUAGGUAACCUCACCAUGCCAGUUCUAGAAAACCUGUACCAGUCACUUUUCCCCACUGUGUCUCCUCCUUAAGGCUUCCAAAUAUAGAGGAACCAGAGGUGAUGUCAUUUUUCCAGUUUAGUGAAGACUAAUUUAAGCAGUCAGGCUGUAACCAUAUAAGGGACAGUGCACACAGCCCAGCUUGAUUAAAAAUUCUCACAGAGCCCAUCUCCAGUACUGCCUUCGCUCUUUUGGGGGCUUUUUCUCCUUUCCACUCCCAGUUAUCUCACAUGUUCUCAAAUCUGCUGCUGAAAGCAUUAGAUCAUUACCUGAAAAUGUACUUCAGUCAUGAAAUCAAAACAUACACCCAAGCUAUGGUAGGCAGGUAACUUCUUUGCAGCAAAGGUGUGUGCGUGCAUGCUUUUGUGAAUGCAGGGAGGAGAAACAGCACUGGAAAAAGCAACCUUCUGCCUGUCUCCUUUAGGUCUGAUUUCCCUUGAGGAGUUUCGUCACACAUGGAAACUCUUCACUUCUCACCUGGGCAUUGAUGUAACCGAUGAAUCCCUUGACAAGUUAGUCCUCAGCAUAGACUACAACAAAGAUGGCUACAUUGACUUCAAUGAGUUUUUAGAGGCCUUUCACGUGGUUCAUAGACUAGAGAGAAAGGCAAAUUCAUGAAAAAGCAGAUCUUCUUGUGGACUAUGAUGGCAGCUCACAUUCCCAUUGAAAUCAUAAGCAGUCUGGGAAACUGGUAAUAAAUGGGCUCAAUAUGGUACUUGUGGCUGUCACUGCGUAAGCAUUUCUUUUGUCCCUUUUGGGUGACAUACACCUGAUUGAUUGAUAGUAAUGAGACCAAGGAGAUGAAAACCCACUGCUUUUGGUAUUACUGUGUCACUGCCACAUCAGUACAACUUAUCCUCCCACUUGGUGGCAUCUCCCCCAUAAGUCUAAGCCAUGAACACUGUCACAGAUGCACCUUCAGCCCCAUGAGAAGAGAAACUUGGGCAUGUUUCUGACAGCAGCCCUUAGCAAUGGCUGAGAAACAGCACUGGUGACCACAAGGAACGUACCAGAUCCUCCAUAGUGAUACCACAGGCACAACAGCCCCAGAGAGGAAAACAAGGCAGAAUCACCAUCUAGUUAAAAUAAGGGGUUUUGCUUUUAAUCCUGCUCCUUGCGUGACACAGUGGAAUUACAACAUUCCAGGUCACUACCUACCCUCCUCCUUAGAGUUUACAGGCACAACUCAGAGUGUCUUAGCUGAAUGGCGUUUACUCUUGCACGAGGUUUCCUCUUGCCACUUGUUACUUUUCCCUGCAUUUCUUGGCAUUUGGAGCUAAGCAACAAUCAUAACUUGUCACCCCAACAAAGGCUGAAGCCUCAGCAUGCUCAUGUCACCCAUGCUAGAUCACUAAAUAAAGCUUUGGCUUCCACAGUAACAUUUAAGUGUGGUGUCUUUUUGCCUGUAUUUUGGAGUCCUACACACAUCUGAGUACAACACACUCUUCCUGAAGAUGAACUGAGUACAACACACUCUUCCUGAAUUUCUGUUUUAAAACACAGAAAUUAACAAGAACCCCAAGUAAACAAAUUUUGAUACUACCAAGCCUAAAUAUUCUUGCAUAUAGUUAAGCAUGAAUGCUUUACUAAGUAAACUGACAAAUUCUGAAACUGAAUGUUGGGAACACAACAAGAUGGAAAAGCCCAGUGCCCCCACGCCCCUCCUGGGCUGCCAGCCAAUACUCCUGUUCCUACCAGUCCCAUCCACCUGCCGAGAGAGGGGAGUGGGGAGAUCUGGAUCUCUUGCAUGUCCCAGUUGGAAAGAAACUCAUGGACAUGAAGUGAAGCAUGGCCAGGUCAGGCACUUUCUGAAAACAGCAUUACCUAAUUCAGCCUUAGUACAUCCAGUGUGCCAAAAGUGCUUUUUGGGUAGGAAAAGGUUCCAGCCCAGCCCCUCUUUAGAUUUUCAUGGCGCAAGACACGCUAGGCUUUAUUUAAUCACAGUCUGGAAAGUACAGAACAAAGUGCCCAUCCCAGUUCACCAUCCCAGGAUGUAACAGCAGCCUAAGCUGAGGGCACUGCUCUCUUCCUUACGUUUUGCUGUCUACAGUAACUUGACAGAUGAAUGAACAAACAUGCACACACAUACUUCUACUGCCCAGGGGAGGGAGGAAAGAAAAAUCUUAAAUAGUGCAAACAAAAUUUGCAGUAAAAUUUUAAUGGUUGGUAAUACGGACUGUUCGAUUUGAGCACACAUUUAUUGUGAGCUAUGCACCUUACUCCAGUGGAGCAACAAAAAAGGGCCCACACCUGAUGGAUAAACACCACCAUGUCUGGUGGGAUCUCGCCUCCAACCCUGGUUUCCUUGGGACAAGGCGGAAUGGGACAGUGCAGCCCUGCAGUCUACCUUUGCCACCAGCCCCUCCACUGUGUGCUCCGAGUCAGUCACAGCUAAUUAUUGUGGGCAGUGCCCCUGACCAGCCCUGAGGCUGCCGCAGGCCUGGCUGGCCUCCCCCUAACCCUGUCCAACCCAAACCAGUCUGUGAUUCUAUGAAAUAGCUUAGGGCAGCAGUGCUGCUCAGACUGGAAAGACGCAGUCUCAGGUUGGUCUAUUUUAAUUCGUUACUGCCCUUGAUUCUGAGGCAUGCGAUGUGUCUCUUUGCCUUUGCCUCUUUUCCAUACUGAGUUUCCAGGGACCUGAAGCUGGAUGUGUAAUUUUGUACUGCUCCCCUGGAAAGCCUGACAGCCACGCUGAGCCUCUGCCAGUGAGCUCAGCCCCACGCAAAGUGCAAAGGCAUCACAGAUUUUAACUAGGCGCACACCCUUGCCUGACCACUGCUAGCUCUGCUUUGCAACAGCUUAACACCACCCCCCCCAGGUGGGUCCUCAGUGAAGCAGGGGGUCUAUAUAAAACCUUAUUUGCUGAAUUAGGUUUGCACUAAAACGCGACACUCCCAUUGGAAUGGUUCUUUGGUCUGAAUAGUAAUGCAGCAGUAAGUUGGAGCUGUGCCUUGUAGGGAAAAAAAAAAAAAAAAGUAGUCUGAGGGAAAACUCAUUUUGCAUCUUCCAAAACCUAGGAUUCAACAGGAAAAGCAAAACCAGCUGCUACUACUGACCUUUUGUAUGGUACUAGAUAGAACAAGAAACCAUUGCACAGGCUUUCGUGUGCUCACGCUCUGCACUGCCACAUCUGUCUGCUUAAAACUAGACAAAGGAUUUUGUUUUCAUUUACUGAGAAACAAGCUAAGUGCUCUCUCACAAUACAUAUGAAAACAAAAAACCCCAAUAAAACAAACCAUAAUGAAGGCAAAUCCCUGCACAACAGGCACUACACCAAUAAAAUGACUUCCACAUCCAAGUGCUAAUUUUACCUGAGCUGUACCUUUGCACCAACUCCUCAACAGGUCCACAGUUUUCAUGGUGGCUGACACAGGAUAGGCCUCUCUCAGGGCAUCCAGCCCAAGGGCCCCCAGACCCCUGGACUGCCAAACUCUCCUGCUCGCUGAAAAAAAAACCAGAAUCACCUCCUAAGGCCUCCCACGCCUUCGCUCUGUUUAACCCAGUGUCCUGUGUCUGUUUAGCUCAGUUGCUACAAUAAGCAGCGACUCUGCGGAGGGGCAGCAGGCAGGGUAGCGUGGCUGUCAGGAGCAUAGCCUCCCCAGGACCGUGGGUGCUGGCAAGUGAGGUUUACUUCCCUCCUUUCAUCAAGGUAUUUCAGAUAUCUGUAUAAAACUGGAACCAAAAAUCUCAUUCUCAAAAGCACCACGUACUUCUGUUACAGAAAAAAAGUUUUCAAAUCCUAUAAAAAUGGCAUAGUUAUGUUUUGAAAGAGCGGAGGGAGUCUCACAGAAAUAUGCUUAUCAGGCUUAUUAGGACAAAAAACACUUCUUACAGGUUGCCCAAGGAAGUUGUGGAUGCUCCAUCCCUGGCAGUGUUCAAGGCCAGGCUGGACAGAGCCUUGGGCGACAUGGUUUAGUGCGAGGUGUCCCUGCCCAUGGCGGGGAGGUUGGAACUAGAUGAUCUUAAGACCCUUUCCAACCCUUACUAUUCUAUGAUUCUGUGAUUCUGUAUCUGCUCUUUUCCACUCUCCCUGGCAAGACAGAAUUACUCUGAUUCUCCCUGCUGUGCCAGCACACCUCCACACCCCUGAGGGAGGCUACAGCUACAGGUGCUUUCCAAAGCUGUCAGCGGGAUGCGUGCUGGCUGCUGGCACCUGGGGUACAGCAGGGUUUUCCAUUCCAGAAGCAGCCUACCUCUAUUUUCAGAGUAAAUGGCCACAGAGCCAUUUCCCUGCAGGACACACCUAUUCUUCAGAAACUGGUUUCCAGUGGACAGAUUGAAGGAGCAGCACUAACCUGGGAGAUGUCUGAAGGGAGACUUCCAGGCAGCCCAGCGCGCUAACUGCAUGUGACAAGUGCAACUUCAAAUGAAAACAAAAAAAAACCCCAACCCAACAAAAAAAACCAAACCCAAACGAACAAAACAAAAAAAAAAAAAAAAAAGA